CGGUGAAAUUGCGUAGAGAUCUGGAGGAAUACCGGUGGCGAAGGCGGCCCCCUGGACAAAGACUGACGCUCAGGUGCGAAAGCGUGGGGAGCAAACAGGAUUAGAUACCCUGGUAGUCCACGCCGUAAACGAUGUCUACUUGGAGGUUGUGCCCUUGAGGCGUGGCUUCCGGAGCUAACGCGUUAAGUCGACCGCCUGGGGAGUACGGCCGCAAGGUUAAAACUCAAAUGAAUUGACGGGGGCCCGCACAAGCGGUGGAGCAUGUGGUUUAAUUCGAUGCAACGCGAAGAACCUUACCUACUCUUGACAUCCAGAGAACUUACCAGAGAUGCUUUGGUGCCUUCGGGAACUCUGAUACAGGUGCUGCAUGGCUGUCGUCAGCUCGUGUUGUGAAAUGUUGGGUUAAGUCCCGCAACGAGCGCAACCCUUAUCCUUUGUUGCCAGCGAUUCGGUCGGGAACUCAAAGGAGACUGCCAGUGAUAAACUGGAGGAAGGUGGGGGAUGACGUCAAGUCAUCAUGGCCCUUACGAGUAGGGCUACACACGUGCUACCAUGGCGCAUACAAAGAGAAGCGACCUCGCGAGAGCAAGCGGACCUCAUAA
Molecule: ribosomal RNA, 602 nt
Filed under: Enterobacter hormaechei
Lineage: Bacteria; Pseudomonadati; Pseudomonadota; Gammaproteobacteria; Enterobacterales; Enterobacteriaceae
Description: bacterial SSU rRNA
Rfam family: Bacterial small subunit ribosomal RNA
Source: RNAcentral